AUGUUCCAAUACAUGUAUAGAAAGUGACCCAAACAAAUUUAUACUAUACGAUAUAUGGUAUAGUCUAGACAAAGAAGCCAGAUCUUCAAUACAUGCGUUCAGACAAGUUGCAGUAGCCUAAUGUUAUGACAUGGAUUGAGGCGAUAUAAACACACAAAAGAGAAGGCAAACACACAAAUAAUUGUCUCUAAACUCUAAACCGAAACGGUAGACCAUUAAACCCUAAACCCAAACCGUAUACCCUAAACCCAAAUUCUUAACCCAAACCGUAAACCCUUAACCCAAACCCUAAACCCAAAUUGUAAAACCAAACCAUCGCCCAUAACGGAGCUAUCUAAACCCUAAGCUUGAAGGUCUAAACCAUAAACCCAAACCGUAGCCCCUAAACCCAAACCCUAACCCAAAACCCUCCUAAACCCAAACUCUAAACCCUAAGCCCAAACCGUAAACCCUUAACCCAAACCCUAAACCCAAAUUGUAAAACCAAACCAUCGCCCAUAACGGAGCUAUCUAAACCCUAAGCUUGAAGGUCUAAACCAUAAACCCAAACCGUAGACCCUAAACCCAAACCCUAACCCAAAACCCUCCUAAACCCAAACUCUAAACCCUAAGCCCAAACCGUAAACCCUUAACCCAAACCCUAAACCCAAAUUGUAAAACCAAACCAUCGCUCAUAACGGAACUACCUAAACCCUAACUUUGAAGGUCUAAAAUAUACUAUAUUUCAUUAGGAAUAGUAUGGCAAUUGAUGAUAGUUACUAUAUUGAUGAAUGGGAAAGGAGGAAGAUGGAGAGGGUGAGGAGCUGGAGGGGAGGAGGAGGAAGGAGGAAAGAUAGUAGUAUGGAGGAAAGGAAGGAGGAAUGAAGAGAGACAGAGAAAGACCGGGGAAGGGAGGGGAGGAGAGAAAGAGUAGGAGGGAGUGUAAGAGUGAAAGCGACAUAGGAGGAAACUAUACUAUUUUGAUGAAUAGAUUAGUAUACUAUAAUGUAAUGUUUAUUCAAAUAUUGUAUGAAAGCUAUAUAAACUGUGAAUAUAAACAUGUAUGUGAAUCUCCAUUAACUUAGAGCAUUCAUUCAACACAAUAGUAAAAUAAAACAUAUUAACAAAGAGCAUUGUUUUUCUUCUCCAAUGCUACCCACCAUCUAAUUCUGAGAUGGUUAUUAGUGGCGGUGGUGCUGAAAAAUAAGACAAUGAAGCUGAUGGAGAAGUGAAAGAGAAGAAUUAGAAGGCGAAGGAGAUACACUUUGCCGAAGAGAAAGAGAAGAAUUAGCAUACUACACUGUAAUUAUAAAAUAGAAUAGAAUAUGUUACACAACAUUACUGUUCAUCUUCCCCAAUUCAAUUUAUCAUCUGCUUCUUCAUCACUAUCUCCAAUCCAACGAACCAAACAUCUUGCAUAUAUAAUCACCCACAAUACAACCGCCACAACCAAUCACCACAAGAACCGUAAAUAGCUUCUCGAACACCCUCACCCUCGCAAAGUAAAGCCGUAGAAACUAGUGGGCCCACCCCUAUCUUACGCGCAGCUUCUGGUUUUUUAGUCAUUAUACAUAAAUAU
Molecule: long non-coding RNA, 1558 nt
Filed under: Brassica napus (rape)
Lineage: Eukaryota; Viridiplantae; Streptophyta; Magnoliopsida; Brassicales; Brassicaceae
Description: long non-coding RNA (BNAP_LNC001695)
Source: RNAcentral